Molecule: ribosomal RNA, 253 nt
Filed under: uncultured bacterium
Lineage: Bacteria
Description: partial 16S ribosomal RNA
Rfam family: Bacterial small subunit ribosomal RNA
Source: RNAcentral
UACGUAGGGUGCGAGCGUUGUCCGGAAUUAUUGGGCGUAAAGAGCUCGUAGGCGGUUUGUUGCGUCGGCUGUGAAAGUCCGAGGCUCAACCUCGGAUCUGCAGUGGGUACGGGCAGACUAGAGUGUGGUAGGGGAGACUGGAAUUCCUGGUGUAGCGGUGGAAUGCGCAGAUAUCAGGAGGAACACCAAUGGCGAAGGCAGGUCUCUGGGCCACAACUGACGCUGAGGAGCGAAAGCAUGGGGAGCGAACAGG